UACGUAGGGGGCUAGCGUUAUCCGGAAUUACUGGGCGUAAAGGGUGCGUAGGUGGUUUCUUAAGUCAGAGGUGAAAGGCUACGGCUCAACCGUAGUAAGCCUUUGAAACUGAGAAACUUGAGUGCAGGAGAGGAGAGUAGAAUUCCUAGUGUAGCGGUGAAAUGCGUAGAUAUUAGGAGGAAUACCAGUUGCGAAUGCGGCUCUCCGGACUGUAACUGACACUGAGGCACGAAAGCGUGGGGAGCAAACAGGAUUAGAUACCCUGGUAGUCCCUGA
This 276-nucleotide ribosomal RNA is filed under the name uncultured prokaryote. Its description in RNAcentral is "partial 16S ribosomal RNA". It matches the Rfam family "Bacterial small subunit ribosomal RNA", at positions 524 to 800 of the family's 1533-position model. The record is from RNAcentral.